GGACACCAUAGCUCAGUGGAAGAGCAUGUGCUUGGGAUGCAGAAGGUCCCAGAUUCAAACCCUGGUGUCUCCA
Molecule: non-coding RNA, 73 nt
Organism: Podarcis lilfordi (Lilford's wall lizard)
Lineage: Eukaryota; Metazoa; Chordata; Lepidosauria; Squamata; Lacertidae
Source: the annotation of a GenBank genome assembly